AUUGAACGCUGGCGGCAGGCCUAACACAUGCAAGUCGAGCGGAUGAAGGGAGCUUGCUCCUGGAUUCAGCGGCGGACGGGUGAGUAAUGCCUAGGAAUCUGCCUGGUAGUGGGGGAUAACGUCCGGAAACGGGCGCUAAUACCGCAUACGUCCUGAGGGAGAAAGUGGGGGAUCUUCGGACCUCACGCUAUCAGAUGAGCCUAGGUCGGAUUAGCUAGUUGGUGGGGUAAAGGCCUACCAAGGCGACGAUCCGUAACUGGUCUGAGAGGAUGAUCAGUCACACUGGAAGUGAGACACGGUCCAGACUCCUACAGGAGGCAGCAGUGGGGAAUAUUGGACGAUGGGGGAAAGCGUGAUCCAGCCAUGCCGCGUGUGUGAAGAAGGUCUUCGGAUUGGAAAGCACUUUAAGUUGGGAGGAAGGGCAGUAAGUUAAUACCUGGCUAUUUUGACGUUACCAACAGAAUAAGCACCGGCUAACUUCGUG
This 484-nucleotide ribosomal RNA is filed under the name uncultured bacterium. RNAcentral describes it as "partial 16S ribosomal RNA". It matches the Rfam family "Bacterial small subunit ribosomal RNA", at positions 30 to 507 of the family's 1533-position model. The record is from RNAcentral.